RNAcentral lists this ribosomal RNA (494 nucleotides) under uncultured bacterium. Its description in RNAcentral is "partial 16S ribosomal RNA". It matches the Rfam family "Bacterial small subunit ribosomal RNA", at positions 28 to 507 of the family's 1533-position model. The record is from RNAcentral.
GACGAACGCUGGCGGCGUGCUUAACACAUGCAAGUCGAACGGAAAGGCCUGCUUUCCCUUGUGGAUUGCGGGUACUCGAGUGGCGAACGGGUGAGUAACACGUGAGUGAUCUGCCCCCAGCUUGGGUAUAAGCCUGGGAAACUGGGUCUAAUUCCCGAUAGGACUGCAGGGUGGUGCCUGUGGUGGAAAACGAUUUUCUAGUGGUUGGGGAUGAGCUCGCGGCCUAUCAGCUUGUUGGUGGGGUAAUGGCCUACCAAGGCGGCGACGGGUAGCCGGCCUGAGAGGGUGGACGGCCACAUUGGGACUGAGAUACGGCCCAGACUCCUACGGGAGGCAGCAGUGGGGAAUAUUGCACAACGGGCGGAAGCCUGAUGCAGCGACGCCGCGUGGGGGAUGACGGCCUUCGGGUUGUAAACUCCUUUCGACCGCGAGGAAGCCACCUGGUUGGAAGGGUGGUGACGGUAGUGGUAGAAGAAGCACCGGCUAACUACGUG